AUUGAACGCUGGCGGCAGGCCUAACACAUGCCAGUCGAGCGGAUGAAGGGAGCUUGCUCCUGGAUUCAGCGGCGGACGGGUGAGUAAUGCCUAGGAAUCUGCCUGGUAGUGGGGGAUAACGUCCGGAAACGGGCGCUAAUACCGCAUACGUCCUGAGGGAGAAAGUGGGGGAUCUUCGGACCUCACGCUAUCAGAUGAGCCUAGGGCGGAUUAGCUAGUUGGUGGGGUAAAGGCCUACCAAGGCGACGAUCCGUAACUGGUCUGAGAGGAUGAUCAGUCACACUGGAACUGAGACACGGUCCAGACUCCUACGGGAGGCAGCAGUGGGGAAUAUUGGACAAUGGGCGAAAGCCUGAUCCAGCCAUGCCGCGUGUGUGAAGAAGGUCUUCGGAUUGUAAAGCACUUUAAGUUGGGAGGAAGGGCAGUAAGUUAAUACCUUGCUGUUUUGACGUUACCAACAGAAUAAGCACCGGCUAACUUCGUG
This 484-nucleotide ribosomal RNA is filed under the name uncultured bacterium. RNAcentral's name for it is "partial 16S ribosomal RNA". It matches the Rfam family "Bacterial small subunit ribosomal RNA", at positions 30 to 507 of the family's 1533-position model. The record is from RNAcentral.